Molecule: small RNA, 122 nt
Filed under: Aeromonas sp.
Lineage: Bacteria; Pseudomonadati; Pseudomonadota; Gammaproteobacteria; Aeromonadales; Aeromonadaceae
Description: partial 6S RNA
Rfam family: 6S / SsrS RNA
About the family: E. coli 6S RNA was the first non coding RNA to be sequenced, but its function was unknown until recently.
Source: RNAcentral
AAUUCCCUGGGGUGUGCGUCAGCCGGUUCAAGUCCCCGAGCCGAUAAUCAUACCCAACAGGAGUUCUAUCUUCUGACUAUUGCGCAUGCUCGGCCCGACCGAGAAGCCUGCGGCCAGUUUAG